This 337-nucleotide unclassified non-coding RNA is filed under the name soil metagenome. Its description in RNAcentral is "partial contains 5.8S ribosomal RNA, internal transcribed spacer 2, and large subunit ribosomal RNA". The stretch from base 1 to 121 matches the Rfam family "5.8S ribosomal RNA", at positions 35 to 154 of the family's 154-position model. The record is from RNAcentral.
GAUGAAGAACGCAGCGAAAUGCGAUAAGUAAUGCGAAUUGCAGAAUUUCCGUGAAUCAUCGAAUCUUUGAACGCACAUUGCGCCCGCCAGUAUUCUGGCGGGCAUGCCUGUUCGAGCGUCAUUUCAACCAUCAAGCCCCCGGCUUGUGUUGGGGACCUGCGGCUGCCGCAGGCCCUGAAAAGCAGUGGCGGGCUCGCUGUCACACCGAGCGUAGUAGCAUACAUCUCGCUCUGGGCGUGCUGCGGGUUCCGGCCGUUAAACCACCUUCAUAACCCAAGGUUGACCUCGGAUCAGGUAGGAAGACCCGCUGAACUUAAGCAUAUCAAUAAGCGGAGGA